UAGGGAAUCUUCGGCAAUGGACGGAAGUCUGACCGAGCAACGCCGCGUGAGUGAAGAAGGUUUUCGGAUCGUAAAGCUCUGUUGUAAGAGAAGAACGAGUGUGAGAGUGGAAAGUUCACACUGUGACGGUAUCUUACCAGAAAGGGACGGCUAACUACGUGCCAGCAGCCGCGGUAAUACGUAGGUCCCGAGCGUUGUCCGGAUUUAUUGGGCGUAAAGCGAGCGCAGGCGGUUAGAUAAGUCUGAAGUUAAAGGCUGUGGCUUAACCAUAGUACGCUUUGGAAACUGUUUAACUUGCGUGCAAGAGGGGAGAGUGGAAUUCCAUGUGUAGCGGUGAAAUGCGUAGAUAUAUGGAGGAACACCGGUGGCGAAAGCGGCUCUCUGGCUUGUAACUGACGCUGAGGCUCGAAAGCGUGGGGAGCAAACAGGAUUAGAUACCCUGGUAGUCCACGCCGUAAACGAUGAGUGCUAGGUGUUAGACCCUUUCCGGGGUUUAGUGCCGUAGCUAACGCAUUAAGCACUCCGCCUGGGGAGUACGACCGCAAGGUUG
RNAcentral lists this ribosomal RNA (550 nucleotides) under uncultured bacterium. RNAcentral describes it as "bacterial SSU rRNA". It matches the Rfam family "Bacterial small subunit ribosomal RNA", at positions 355 to 896 of the family's 1533-position model. The record is from RNAcentral.